GGAUGAACGCUGGCGGCGUGCUUAACCCAUGCAAGUCGAACGGAAAGGCCCAAGCUUGCUUGGGUACUCGAGUGGCGAACGGGUGAGUAACACGUGGGUGAUCUGCCCUGCACUUCGGGAUAAGCCUGGGAAACUGGGUCUAAUACCGGAUAGGACGAUGGUUUGGAUGCCAUUGUGGAAAGUUUUUUCGGUGUGGGAUGAGCUCGCGGCCUAUCAGCUUGUUGGUGGGGUAAUGGCCUACCAAGGCGUCGACGGGUAGCCGGCCUGAGAGGGUGUACGGCCACAUUGGGACUGAGAUACGGCCCAGACUCCUACGGGAGGCAGCAGUGGGGAAUAUUGCACAAUGGGCGCAAGCCUGAUGCAGCGACGCCGCGUGGGGGAUGACGGCCUUCGGGUUGUAAACUCCUUUCGCUAGGGACGAAGCGUUUUUGUGACGGUACCUGGAGAAGAAGCACCGGCUAACUACGUG
This 469-nucleotide ribosomal RNA is filed under the name uncultured bacterium. RNAcentral's name for it is "partial 16S ribosomal RNA". It matches the Rfam family "Bacterial small subunit ribosomal RNA", at positions 27 to 507 of the family's 1533-position model. The record is from RNAcentral.